This 301-nucleotide unclassified non-coding RNA is filed under the name Rhizophagus sp. (in: glomeromycetes). RNAcentral describes it as "Rhizophagus sp. (in: Fungi) partial contains 5.8S ribosomal RNA and internal transcribed spacer 2". The stretch from base 1 to 71 matches the Rfam family "5.8S ribosomal RNA", at positions 84 to 154 of the family's 154-position model. Lineage: Eukaryota; Fungi; Glomeromycota; Glomeromycetes; Glomerales; Glomeraceae. The record is from RNAcentral.
GUGAAUCAUCAAAUUUUUGAACGCAAAUUGCACUCUCUGGCAACCCGGGGAGUAUGCCUGUUUAAGGGUCAGUGUUAGUAAAAAUCGGUGCGUCGCAAUUUUUUUGUGGUGUUUCCGGAGUUUGAGUUAUCUUAACUCUUCUGGGUUUAAGAGGCUUAAAAUUGACCUUUUUUUGUGCAUUUUUAGACGUACAUAAAUUUUUUUAUUCGUUUAUCUUAAUGCCAAAAUCUAUUAGAUGCGACCAUAUCAAGUGGUUACGUGUCUAUAAAUUUUUUUCAUAAUUUGACCUCAAAUCAGGUAG